This 617-nucleotide ribosomal RNA is filed under the name uncultured bacterium. Its description in RNAcentral is "bacterial SSU rRNA". It matches the Rfam family "Bacterial small subunit ribosomal RNA", at positions 228 to 842 of the family's 1533-position model. The record is from RNAcentral.
GUCAUGCGUCGCAUUAGCUAGUUGGCGGGGUAACGGCCCACCAAGGCGACGAUGCGUAGGGGUUCUGAGAGGAAGGUCCCCCACACUGGUACUGAGACACGGACCAGACUCCUACGGGAGGCAGCAGUGAGGAAUAUUGGUCAAUGGCCGCAGGGCUGAACCAGCCAAGUCGCGUGAGGGAUGACGGUCCUAUGGAUUGUAAACCUCUUUUGUCAGGGAGCAAAGGGCGCCACGUGUGGCGCUUUGCGAGUACCUGAAGAAAAAGCAUCGGCUAACUCCGUGCCAGCAGCCGCGGUAAUACGGAGGAUGCGAGCGUUAUCCGGAUUUAUUGGGUUUAAAGGGUGCGCAGGCGGAAUGUCAAGUCAGCGGUAAAAUUUCGGGGCUCAACCCCGUCGUGCCGUUGAAACUGGCGUUCUUGAGUGAGCGAGAAGUAUGCGGAAUGCGUGGUGUAGCGGUGAAAUGCAUAGAUAUCACGCAGAACUCCGAUUGCGAAGGCAGCAUACCGGCGCUCAACUGACGCUCAUGCACGAAAGCGUGGGUAUCGAACAGGAUUAGAUACCCUGGUAGUCCACGCAGUAAACGAUGAAUACUAACUGUCCGGGCAGAAUGAUGCCUGG